This 74-nucleotide transfer RNA is filed under the name Chitinophagaceae bacterium. RNAcentral's name for it is "tRNA-Asp". It matches the Rfam family "tRNA". Rfam says of the family: Transfer RNA (tRNA) molecules are approximately 80 nucleotides in length. Their secondary structure includes four short double-helical elements and three loops (D, anti-codon, and T loops). Lineage: Bacteria; Pseudomonadati; Bacteroidota; Chitinophagia; Chitinophagales; Chitinophagaceae. The record is from RNAcentral. RNAcentral also lists the same sequence under 1 other name.
GCACCCGUGGUGUAGAGGCCCAACAUGCUUCCCUGUCACGGAAGAGAUCGCCGGUUCGAAUCCGGUCGGGUGCG